Long non-coding RNA from Pieris rapae (cabbage white), 551 nucleotides. RefSeq lists it as uncharacterized. NCBI's taxonomy places the organism in Eukaryota, Metazoa, Arthropoda, Insecta, Lepidoptera, Pieridae. The transcript is spliced from 2 exons. The record is from RefSeq and is a predicted model, not a curated record.
UUCAAAUACACAAAACAUUUAAUUUAAGUAUUAUUAAAGUAAAAAUGAAUCCAAAACUACCUAGAAACUCUGAAAAUGAGCCUCAUAAUUCUCAAGAAGCCAAGAUAAAUACAACAACGCAAUUGAGAUACGUAAUUGAAAAUAAGGAUGGAUUCAGUUUUACUGAUACAGAUUGUGGGGAACCUCAAGAAUGUCAACGGAUUAUUAUAGAUUUUUCACCAAAUGAGAGUGACAGUCCCGCUUCACGCCAGAAAUGCAAGGAUUUUUGGGAUUUCAUCAAUAAAAACCCUCAUUUAGAUACAUUUUUAACUGAACAUAACUCAAAGGCAGUGGAAUAAUUAUAUACGGAUCAUAUCUGAGUGUCAACUAAAUAACUUUAAGCUCUGUAACAAUUGUUACGGGCACAUUAUAAAAAAUAACACAGCUUUUAAAAAUAUGAAUAAAGUAGAUAUGAAAAUCUCUGCCCUUUCGAUAAUAUGCUUAAUGUGGUUACAAUCCUUAAUAGUUUAAUAGUUUUGUCCAACAUCCACAAAUAUAUGGAUCCAAUCUUA